RNAcentral lists this ribosomal RNA (717 nucleotides) under uncultured bacterium. RNAcentral describes it as "bacterial SSU rRNA". It matches the Rfam family "Bacterial small subunit ribosomal RNA", at positions 8 to 722 of the family's 1533-position model. The record is from RNAcentral.
AGAGUUUGAUCAUGCCUCAGAUUGAACGCUGGCGGCAUACUCUACACAUGCAAGUCGAACGGUAACGCGGAGCAACCUGGCGACGAGUGGCGAACGGGUGAGUAAUGCAUCGGAACGUGCCCAGUAGUGGGGGAUAGCCCGGCGAAAGCCGGAUUAAUACCGCAUACGACCUAAGGGUGAAAGCGGGGGAUCGCGAGACCUCGCGCUAUUGGAGCGGCCGAUGUCAGAUUAGGUAGUUGGUGAGGUAAAGGCUCACCAAGCCUUCGAUCUGUAGCUGGUCUGAGAGGACGACCAGCCACACUGGGACUGAGACACGGCCCAGACUCCUACGGGAGGCAGCAGUGGGGAAUUUUGGACAAUGGGGGAAACCCUGAUCCAGCGAUGCCGCGUGUGUGAAGAAGGCCUUCGGGUUGUAAAGCACUUUAGGUGGGGAAGAAAGGUAACGAGCGAAUAACUUGUUGUUAUGACGGUACCCGCAGAAUAAGCCCCGGCUAACUUUGUGCCAGCAGCCGCGGUAAUACAGAGGGUGCAAGCGUUAAUCAGAAUGACUGGGCGUAAAGGGCGUGUAGGUGGUUGACUAGGUUUGAUGUGAAAUCCCCGGGCUUAACCUGGGAAUUGCGUCGAAAACGGGUCGUCUCGAGUGAGAUAGAGGGUUGUGGAAUUUCCGGUGUAGCGGUGAAAUGCGUAGAUAUCGGAAAGAACAUCAGUGGCGAAGGC